This 327-nucleotide ribosomal RNA is filed under the name uncultured eukaryote. Its description in RNAcentral is "partial 18S ribosomal RNA". It matches the Rfam family "Eukaryotic small subunit ribosomal RNA", at positions 1470 to 1796 of the family's 1831-position model. The record is from RNAcentral.
CCCUUAGAUGUUCUGGGCUGCACGCGCGCUACACUGAUGCGUUCAACGAGUGUAUAACCUUACCCGAUAGGGUUGGGUAAUCUUUUGAACACGCAUCGUGAUGGGGAUAGAUUAUUGCAAUUAUUAAUCUUCAACGAGGAAUUCCUAGUAAUGAUGAAUCAUCAGUUCAUCGUGAUUACGUCCCUGCCCUUUGUACACACCGCCCGUCGCUCCUACCGAUUGAAUGACUCGGUGAAAUCCCCGGACUGCAGCCUUGACACCCUCGGGUGACUCGGCAGUGGAAAGCGGAUUAAACCUCGCCAUUUAGAGGAAGGUGAAGUCGUAACA